This 253-nucleotide ribosomal RNA is filed under the name uncultured bacterium. Its description in RNAcentral is "partial 16S ribosomal RNA". It matches the Rfam family "Bacterial small subunit ribosomal RNA", at positions 524 to 776 of the family's 1533-position model. The record is from RNAcentral.
UACGGGGGGAGCAAGCGUUGUUCGGAUUUACUGGGCGUAAAGGGCGCGUAGGCGGCGUAACAAGUCACUUGUGAAAUCUCCGGGCUUAACUCGGAGCGGUCAAGUGAUACUGUUGUGCUAGAGUGCAGAAGGGGCAACCGGAAUUCUUGGUGUAGCGGUGAAAUGCGUAGAUAUCAAGAGGAACACCUGAGGUGAAGACGGGUUGCUGGGCUGACACUGACGCUGAGGCGCGAAAGCUAGGGUAGCAAACGGG